AUUGAACGCUGGCGGCAGGCCUAACACAUGCAAGUCGAACGAGUGGCGGACGGGUGAGUAAUGUCUGGGAAACUGCCCGAUGGAGGGGGAUAACUACUGGAAACAGUAGCUAAUACCGCAUACCAUCGGAUGUGCCCAGAUGGGAUUAGCUAGUAGGUGGGGUAACGGCCCACCUAGGCGACGAUCCAUAGCUGGUCUGAGAGGAGGACCAGCCACACUGGAACUGAGACACGGUCCAGACUCCUACGGUAGGCAGCAUGGGGGAAUAUUGAACAAUGGGCGCAAGCCGGAUGCAGCCAUGCCGCGUGUAUGAAGAAGGCCUUCGGGUUGUAAAGUACUUUCAGCGAGGAGGCGUUACUCGCAGAAGAAGCACCGGCUAACUCCGUGCCAGCAGCCGCGGUAAUUC
RNAcentral lists this ribosomal RNA (406 nucleotides) under uncultured bacterium. RNAcentral's name for it is "partial 16S ribosomal RNA". It matches the Rfam family "Bacterial small subunit ribosomal RNA", at positions 30 to 526 of the family's 1533-position model. The record is from RNAcentral.